This 1017-nucleotide long non-coding RNA is filed under the name Capsella grandiflora. RNAcentral's name for it is "long non-coding RNA (CGRA_LNC000280)". Lineage: Eukaryota; Viridiplantae; Streptophyta; Magnoliopsida; Brassicales; Brassicaceae. The record is from RNAcentral.
AAUUGUUCAAUUUUACGGGUCUUAAAGAACAUAACUAAAUAAAAUUUUAACAAUUGUACAUACAAAGUUUUACUAACAAAAUAUACUAUUCAAAUACUGAUUAAAUCAAAUUUAUUAUACGAAUAAGUUUUACCGAUAAACUAUAUUAUGUAUCAAACUAUAUAAAUCAUAUGUAAUUCACGGGUUAUUCUGCUAAACUCACAACUAUAUAAUAGUUAUAAAUUGGUUAUUCAAAACAUAUAUAUGUUACAAACAUAUGUAUAAUUCACCACAAUCAACUCCAUUUAUUUAAUACAGCUUCAUGCACUAACCAUACUCGCGACUGUUUUUGGAUAACAUUUAAUACAAAGUUAUUAGAAAAAUUAGUUACGGAAAUAGUAAAAUCAUAAUCUAAAAAUGUUAUAUUUGUAUCACUUAAUUAGUAAAUUAAAACAUAUUAACAGAUAACUUUCCUCCGCGCUGUAGUGCGGGUCUAAUUCUAGUUAUAAGUCUAAUCGAAGACAUACAUAUCUGAGGUUUAAAAUUUUCCUCUGUUUCCUUUUGUUAUGUUAAGAGAGACUCUAAUAGUUGAAAAGACCCAACCCAAAAAAUUUUAGGGUUUGAUUGGUAACGUGCAGAAAGCUGUACAAAAACGCUGUAAGCUGUUAGUGAAUAGUGCAAAGCUGUAAGAUAAAACUAUACAUGAAAGCUGUAAAAAAUCUGAAAAUACACAGUUUUUAGAAAAAUAAAAAGAUACAAAUAUAUAUAAAAAUAACAUAAAACUGUUGUUUAGUAAUUUGGUAACAUAGAUGUAACAUAAUCAUUUCUUACGUUCAUAAUCAUUUCUUACGUUCAUAGUAAUUUGGUAACAUAGAUGUAACAUAACUGAUUAUCUUGACAUUUAUUUUUAUAUAAAAAAAUACCUUAAUUGGAAGAAUCGUAGUUACUUACUUAAAACGUUUUUUCCAAAUUUUCGUACAGAACAAGAAGAAAAGGAAAGAAAAACUACAUUUACAAACAAUGAGCAUAUAGUUACAU